GGCACUUUGGCGGAGUGGUUAACGCGAUGCCCUGCUACUUUCUUAGCUAGGCAUUUCCUUCGGGAGCGUGUGUUCGAAUCACACAGGUGUCG
Molecule: non-coding RNA, 92 nt
Organism: Lizonia empirigonia
Lineage: Eukaryota; Fungi; Ascomycota; Dothideomycetes; Pseudoperisporiaceae
Source: the annotation of a GenBank genome assembly